AAGGGUUUAGAGUUUACCCAAGGGUUUAGGGUUUAGGAUUUAGGGUUUAGGGAUUAGGAGUUAGAACAGUAGUGUCAGUAGAACAGCAGAAGUGGACAUCAAACUUGUUGGGGCUGAACUAUACGAUUGAAUACAGGCCUGGGAAAGCGAACAUAGUUGCAGAUGCCUUGUCUCGCCUUCCUGGCCAAGAGGAGAUGAGAGAGCUUCAGCUAACGACACCUCUGACUAUUGAUAAAGAAGAGUUGGUGUUACAGGUUGCUCAAGAUGAAGUUCUGCAACAGAUAAUGAGGUUUGUUCAA
RNAcentral lists this long non-coding RNA (299 nucleotides) under Brassica napus (rape). RNAcentral's name for it is "long non-coding RNA (BNAP_LNC002852)". Lineage: Eukaryota; Viridiplantae; Streptophyta; Magnoliopsida; Brassicales; Brassicaceae. The record is from RNAcentral.